GCCGGGUGUGGUGGCACGUGCCUGUAGUCCCAGCUACUCGGGAGGCUGAGGUGGGAGGAUUGCUUGAGCCCAGGAGUUCUGGGCUAUAGUUUGCUAUGCUGAUCGGGUGUCUGCACUAAGUUCAGCAUCAAUAUGGUGACCUCCUGGGAGUGGGGGACCACCAGGUUGCCUAAGGAGGGGUGAACCAGCCCAGGUCGGAAAUGGAGCAGGUCAAAACUUCCCUGCUGAUCAGUAGUGGGAUCGCACCUGUGAAUAGCCACUGCACUCCAGCCUGGGUAACAUAGCGAGACCCUGUCUCAA
Callithrix jacchus (white-tufted-ear marmoset) is the source of this 300-nucleotide unclassified non-coding RNA. It matches the Rfam family "Metazoan signal recognition particle RNA". Rfam says of the family: The signal recognition particle (SRP) is a universally conserved ribonucleoprotein. The record is from Ensembl. NCBI's taxonomy places the organism in Eukaryota, Metazoa, Chordata, Mammalia, Primates, Cebidae.